ACUGUGUGUUGUUGGGUAGGGGAGCGUUCUGUAAGCCUGUGAAGGUGUGUCGUGAGGCAUGCUGGAGGUAUCAGAAGUGCGAAUGCUGACAUAAGUAACGAUAAAGCGGGUGAAAAGCCCGCUCGCCGGAAGACCAAGGGUUCCUGUCCAACGUUAAUCGGGGCAGGGUGAGUCGACCCCUAAGGCGAGGCCGAAAGGCGUAGUCGAUGGGAAACGGGUUAAUAUUCCCGUACUUGGUGUUACUGCGAAGGGGGGACGGAGAAGGCUAUGUUGGCCGGGCGACGGUUGUCCCGGUUUAAGCGUGUAGGUGUGUGUUCCAGGUAAAUCCGGUUCACUUUAACACUGAGGCGUGACGACGAGGCACUACGGUGCUGAAGCAACAAAUGCCCUGCUUCCAGGAAAAGCCUCUAAGCAUCAGGUAACAUCAAAUCGUACCCCAAACCGACACAGGUGGUCAGGUAGAGAAUACCAAGGCGCUUGAGAGAACUCGGGUGAAGGAACUAGGCAAAAUGGUGCCGUAACUUCGGGAGAAGGCACGCUGACACGUAGGUGAAGUGAUUUACUCAUGGAGCUGAAGUCAGUCGAAGAUACCAGCUGGCUGCAACUGUUUAUUAAAAACACAGCACUGUGCAAACACGAAAGUGGACGUAUACGGUGUGACGCCUGCCCGGUGCCGGAAGGUUAAUUGAUGGGGUCAGCGCAAGCGAAGCUCCUGAUCGAAGCCCCGGUAAACGGCGGCCGUAACUAUAACGGUCCUAAGGUAGCGAAAUUCCUUGUCGGGUAAGUUCCGACCUGCACGAAUGGCGUAAUGAUGGCCAGGCUGUCUCCACCCGAGACUCAGUGAAAUUGAACUCGCUGUGAAGAUGCAGUGUACCCGCGGCAAGACGGAAAGACCCCGUGAACCUUUACUAUAGCUUGACACUGAACAUUGAGCCUUGAUGUGUAGGAUAGGUGGGAGGCUUUGAAGUGUGGACGCCAGUCUGCAUGGAGCCGACCUUGAAAUACCACCCUUUAAUGUUUGAUGUUCUAACGUGGACCCGUUACCCGGGUUGCGGACAGUGUCUGGUGGGUAGUUUGACUGGGGCGGUCUCCUCCUAAAGAGUAACGGAGGAGCACGAAGGUUGGCUAAUCCUGGUCGGACAUCAGGAGGUUAGUGCAAUGGCAUAAGCCAGCUUGACUGCGAGCGUGACGGCGCGAGCAGGUGCGAAAGCAGGUCAUAGUGAUCCGGUGGUUCUGAAUGGAAGGGCCAUCGCUCAACGGAUAAAAGGUACUCCGGGGAUAACAGGCUGAUACCGCCCAAGAGUUCAUAUCGACGGCGGUGUUUGGCACCUCGAUGUCGGCUCAUCACAUCCUGGGGCUGAAGUAGGUCCCAAGGGUAUGGCUGUUCGCCAUUUAAAGUGGUACGCGAGCUGGGUUUAGAACGUCGUGAGACAGUUCGGUCCCUAUCUGCCGUGGGCGCUGGAGAACUGAGGGGGGCUGCUCCUAGUACGAGAGGACCGGAGUGGACGCAUCACUGGUGUUCGGGUUGUCAUGCCAAUGGCACUGCCCGGUAGCUAAAUGCGGAAGAGAUAAGUGCUGAAAGCAUCUAAGCACGAAACUUGCCCCGA
This 1607-nucleotide ribosomal RNA is filed under the name Salmonella enterica. RNAcentral describes it as "partial 23S ribosomal RNA". It matches the Rfam family "Bacterial large subunit ribosomal RNA", at positions 1213 to 2802 of the family's 2925-position model. The record is from RNAcentral. Lineage: Bacteria; Pseudomonadati; Pseudomonadota; Gammaproteobacteria; Enterobacterales; Enterobacteriaceae.